UCAGGUAGCACCACAGAAGAGGAGGCAGAAACAGUAUAGGAGCUAGAGGGCAUGGAGGACACCAAGAGGGCAUGGGUUUCCAAACCAACACAAGCAAAGUUUAUAUGAACUUUCAGAGACUGAAGCAGCAUUCAUAGCACCUGCAGGAGUCUGCACCAGGGAGAUCCAAAUGUCCUGUUUUGAGCAUUCCUCGUUCCAUAGCCUCUCUGGAACUGUGGAUCCUGACAUCGUUAUCUUUGAUGGACAGCUAAUAUACAUUUAUAAGUGAAACAUUUCUUCUUACAAGGAAGAAUGAAGUCUCCAAGACAAAGGAAGCUCACCAACGUUAAGAGCGUCUAGAGACAAUUUCUCCAGGAAAGAACUAUGUGGAUUUCUUGAGUCGUCAUCUAUGCUAGGAAGGGUUUACUGGGCUCCAGCUUUGACUUGUCCUUUUUAUUGGAAGUAACUCCUCACUUCUGCACCUAUAAGUAAUCCUAAUAGAUGCAUUUGUUCUUGUAAGACUUAUAUAGGAACACUUCUGUGGUGUAUCGUUGGUGCCUUAUCUGGUGUUAAUGGCUUUGUUCUCUCCAAGUGAAAGGUCAUACAUUAGGUCUCUUAAAAAAAAAAAAAGAACAUAGUUUGUUUCUAUAAUGCAAGUUUAUUCCCAUUGACUGUUAUAUUGAUCAACCACAGAAGAACAGAGGUGGACUCAUGACUUAAAAUGAGAGCUAGAAAGAGGAAAUAUAACGAUGCAUUCCCUACUGAGAGGAAAAUAAGCUUGAUAAAUCUACACAAUCAAAUUAUCCUGAAUCCAUCAAACAGCAAAGCUUUGCAUAAACAUAAUUUUCAGACAAGAUAAUCUCACAUUUGCUAUUCACAGAGGUGACAACAAGUGAAGUGGAAAAAUCUGAAUUUUUUUAAAAGACACUCUUGGAUGCUAACUUCAUAUGUCGUGUCAGAUUACAUUAGGAAAGCAUCUACUUAUAGUAGGACCUUGAACUCACCUGGGAAAUUCUCAAAAGACAUUUGGACACUUACAGGAUAAUGACAAUAUUCAAAAAUUGAAUUCCUCUUGAAAAAGAGGUAAUCAAAUUUUAGUAAGCAAAGAUGGGUUUUAUUGUGAAUUUUUUUUAUAAAUACACCAUCAUAUUUUUUUAAAUCAUCCUCUUAUUUUCCUCCAUCAUCUUUCCUUUUCCCCAGUUGCUGUCUCUUCGCUCACUCCAAACAGCUUCCAAUUCUGUGUAAAGACACAUUUUCUUUACUUUUUACGUGCACUUUUACAUCUCUUCCUCCCUUUUCAUAAUCCCUUUGUAGAUUCAUCAUACACACACACACACA
Long non-coding RNA from Mesocricetus auratus (golden hamster), 1317 nucleotides. RefSeq lists it as uncharacterized. The record is from RefSeq and is a predicted model, not a curated record. The transcript is spliced from 3 exons. Lineage: Eukaryota; Metazoa; Chordata; Mammalia; Rodentia; Cricetidae.